CAGGGGGUGGGGGAGUCCCUCAGCCCUGAUUUCGAGAGUGUGCAGGCCAGGCCGAGGGACCCCUCUGGUGCACG
Non-coding RNA from Myotis lucifugus (little brown bat), 74 nucleotides. Lineage: Eukaryota; Metazoa; Chordata; Mammalia; Chiroptera; Vespertilionidae. The record is from Rfam.